AGCGGCGGACGGGUGAGUAACACGUGGAUAACCUACCUAUAAGACUGGGAUAACUUCGGGAAACCGGAGCUAAUACCGGAUAAUAUAUUGAACCGCAUGGUUCAAUAGUGAAAGACGGUUUUGCUGUCACUUAUAGAUGGAUCCGCGCCGCAUUAGCUAGUUGGUAAGGUAACGGCUUACCAAGGCAACGAUGCGUUGCCGACCCGAGAGGGUGAUCGGCCACACUGGAACUGAGACACGGUCCAGACUCCUACGGGAGGCAGCAGUAGGGAAUCUUCCGCAAUGGGCGAAAGCCUGACGGAGCAACGCCGCGUGAGUGAUGAAGGUCUUCGGAUCGUAAAACUCUGUUAUUAGGGAAGAACAAAUGUGUAAGUAACUAUGCACGUCUUGACGGUACCUAAUCAGAAAGCCACGGCUAACUACGUGCCAGCAGCCGCGGUAAUACGUAGGUGGCAAGCGUUAUCCGGAAUUAUUGGGCGUAAAGCGCGCGUAGGCGGUUUUUUAAGUCUGAUGUGAAAGCCCACGGCUCAACCGUGGAGGGUCAUUGGAAACUGGAAAACUUGAGUGCAGAAGAGGAAAGUGGAAUUCCAUGUGUAGCGGUGAAAUGCGCAGAGAUAUGGAGGAACACCAGUGGCGAAGGCGACUUUCUGGUCUGUAACUGACGCUGAUGUGCGAAAGCGUGGGGAUCAAACAGGGUUAGGUACCCUGGUAGUCCACGCCGUAAACGAUGAGUGCUAAGUGUUAGGGGGUUUCCGCCCCUUAGUGCUGUAGCUAACGCAUUAAGCACUCCGCCUGGGGAGUACGACCGCAAGGUU
RNAcentral lists this ribosomal RNA (815 nucleotides) under uncultured Staphylococcus sp. RNAcentral's name for it is "bacterial SSU rRNA". It matches the Rfam family "Bacterial small subunit ribosomal RNA", at positions 94 to 895 of the family's 1533-position model. Lineage: Bacteria; Bacillati; Bacillota; Bacilli; Caryophanales; Staphylococcaceae. The record is from RNAcentral.